UUUUAUAGAAUAAGUAUCCAGAUGUUGUAGCACUUCCUGAAGGAUUACAUGGAGAUUACAUGCUCUUAAGGAGCACUCAACUUCCCAAAUUUGAAUUAAUGAUUGUUUGGAAGAUACAGGUAGAUGAAAACGGAAAUAUUAUACCAGUUUUGGAUCUUUUGAACAAAAUACCACUACAAGGCACUCUAGCUGACAAAUUUGCAUCAGACGCUCCGCAAGGUUUCAGAAGUCUCUUGCAUAUGAUUGGGAUACAGGCAUCCAUUGA
Thamnophis sirtalis is the source of this 265-nucleotide non-coding RNA. Lineage: Eukaryota; Metazoa; Chordata; Lepidosauria; Squamata; Natricidae. The record is from RefSeq and is a predicted model, not a curated record.